GAUGAGAAGAGCUUGCUCUUCGAUUCAGCGGCGGACGGGUGAGUAAUGCCUAGGAAUCUGCCUGGUAGUGGGGGACAACGUUUCGAAAGGAACGCUAAUACCGCAUACGUCCUACGGGAGAAAGCAGGGGACCUUCGGGCCUUGCGCUAUCAGAUGAGCCUAGGUCGGAUUAGCUAGUUGGUGAGGUAAUGGCUCACCAAGGCGACGAUCCGUAACUGGUCUGAGAGGAUGAUCAGUCACACUGGAACUGAGACACGGUCCAGACUCCUACGGGAGGCAGCAGUGGGGAAUAUUGGACAAUGGGCGAAAGCCUGAUCCAGCCAUGCCGCGUGUGUGAAGAAGGUCUUCGGAUUGUAAAGCACUUUAAGUUGGGAGGAAGGGCAUUAACCUAAUACGUUAGUGUUUUGACGUUACCGACAGAAUAAGCACCGGCUAACUCUGUGCCAGCAGCCGCGGUAAUACAGAGGGUGCAAGCGUUAAUCGGAAUUACUGGGCGUAAAGCGCGCGUAGGUGGUUUGUUAAGUUGGAUGUGAAAGCCCCGGGCUCAACCUGGGAACUGCAUCCAAAACUGGCAAGCUAGAGUACGGUAGAGGGUGGUGGAAUUUCCUGUGUAGCGGUGAAAUGCGUAGAUAUAGGAAGGAACACCAGUGGCGAAGGCGACCACCUGGACUGAUACUGACACUGAGGUGCGAAAGCGUGGGGAGCAAACAGGAUU
RNAcentral lists this ribosomal RNA (715 nucleotides) under Pseudomonas putida. RNAcentral describes it as "bacterial SSU rRNA". It matches the Rfam family "Bacterial small subunit ribosomal RNA", at positions 68 to 779 of the family's 1533-position model. The record is from RNAcentral. Lineage: Bacteria; Pseudomonadati; Pseudomonadota; Gammaproteobacteria; Pseudomonadales; Pseudomonadaceae.